RNAcentral lists this ribosomal RNA (460 nucleotides) under uncultured bacterium. RNAcentral's name for it is "partial 16S ribosomal RNA". It matches the Rfam family "Bacterial small subunit ribosomal RNA", at positions 338 to 795 of the family's 1533-position model. The record is from RNAcentral.
CCUACGGGCGACAGCAGUGAGGAAUAUUGGUCAAUGGACGAGAGUCUGAACCAGCCAAGUAGCGUGAAGGAUGACUGCCCUAUGGGUUGUAAACUUCUUUUAUAUGGGAAUAAAAUGUUCCACGUGUGGGUUUUUGUAUGUACCAUAUGAAUAAGGAUCGGCUAACUCCGUGCCAGCAGCCGCGGUAAUACGGAGGAUCCGAGCGUUAUCCGGAUUUAUUGGGUUUAAAGGGAGCGUAGGUGGAUUGUUAAGUCAGUUGUGAAAGUUUGCGGCUCAACCGUAAAAUUGCAGUUGAAACUGGCAGUCUUGAGUACAGUAGAGGUAGGCGGAAUUCGUGGUGUAGCGGUGAAAUGCUUAGAUAUCACGAAGAACUCCGAUUGCGAAGGCAGCUCACUGGACUGCAACUGACACUGAGGCUCGAAAGUGUGGGUAUCAAACAGGAUUAGAUACCCCUGUAGUC